AUGGAAGGCCCAGCUCAGCUUCUCUGCCUGCUAGUGUUCUGGCUCCCAGAUGCCAUGGGAGACAUUGUGAUGACUCAGUCCCCAGCUUCCCUCUCUGUGUCUCCUGGUGAAAGAGUCUCCCUCAAUUGCAAGUCCAGUGAGACUGUUUAUAGUAUAGCCUGGUAUCAGCAGAAACCUGGGCAGGCUCCUAGGCUCCUCAUCUAUGGUGCAAACAGCAGGGCUGAUGGCAUCCCAGACAGAUUCAGUGGGAGUGGGUCUGGGACAGACUUCACUCUCACUAUCAGCAGCCUGAAAGCUGAAGAUUUGGGAACUUAUUACUGUCAGGAGGGUUAUAGCUCUCCCACAGUGUUACAUGCUUGA
This is a non-coding RNA of Chrysochloris asiatica (Cape golden mole), 360 nucleotides long. Lineage: Eukaryota; Metazoa; Chordata; Mammalia; Afrosoricida; Chrysochloridae. The record is from the annotation of a RefSeq genome assembly.